GAUGAACGCUGGCGGCGUGCCCAAUACAUGCAAGUCGAGCGAACAGACGAGGAGCUUGCUCCUCUGACGUUAGCGGCGGACGGGUGAGUAACACGUGGAUAACCUACCUAUAAGACUGGGAUAACUUCGGGAAACCGGAGCUAAUACCGGAUAAUAUAUUGAACCGCAUGGUUCAAUAGUGAAAGACGGUUUUGCUGUCACCUAUAGAUGGAUCCGCGCCGCAUUAGCUAGUUGGUAAGGUAACGGCUUACCAAGGCAACGAUGCGUAGCCGACCUGAGAGGGUGAUCGGCCACACUGGAACUGAGACACGGUCCAGACUCCUACGGGAGGCAGCAGUAGGGAAUCUUCCGCAAUGGGCGAAAGCCUGACGGAGCAACGCCGCGUGAGUGAUGAAGGUCUUCGGAUCGUAAAACUCUGUUAUUAGGGAAGAACAAAUGUGUAAGUAACUAUGCACGUCUUGACGGUACCUAAUCAGAAAGCCACGGCUAACUACGUG
RNAcentral lists this ribosomal RNA (497 nucleotides) under uncultured bacterium. RNAcentral describes it as "partial 16S ribosomal RNA". It matches the Rfam family "Bacterial small subunit ribosomal RNA", at positions 28 to 507 of the family's 1533-position model. The record is from RNAcentral.